GUUUAUUGAUGGUUUUGAGAACUGCAAGGCCUGCCUGCUAUGGAUGAUAUCGUAUUUAGAGUUCCAAUUUUUCCAGUCCGAAAAUAGCGAUGAGGAGGCUUCCUUGUCGAACGAGGACUGAUCUUCUUGUUCCUUGAGCUGGAGAUUGAGAAGAGCAUCCACUAUCUGAUUGUUGCCAUCAUCUACGAUGAUGAGAGCUUCGAACAGGGUCUGC
RNAcentral lists this long non-coding RNA (214 nucleotides) under Elaeis guineensis (African oil palm). RNAcentral describes it as "long non-coding RNA (EGUI_LNC045596)". The record is from RNAcentral. Lineage: Eukaryota; Viridiplantae; Streptophyta; Magnoliopsida; Arecales; Arecaceae.